AGAGUUUGAUUCUGGCUCAGAACGAACGCUGGCGGCGUGGAUAAGACAUGCAAGUCGAACGCUUGGUCGGUUGCAGCAAUGUGGCCGGCCGGGAGUGGCGCAAGGGUGCGUAACACGUGGGUAAUCCGCCCCGAAGACCGGGAUAACUCCGAGAAAUCGGAGCUAAUACCGGAUGUAACCGCAGGACGGCAUCGUCCAGCGGUAGAAGCUGGGGACCGUAAGGCCUGGCACUUCGGGAUGAGCCCGCGGCCUAUCAGCUAGUUGGCGGGGUAAUGGCCCACCAAGGCGAAGACGGGUAGCUGGUCUGAGAGGACGACCAGCCACACUGGAACUGAGACACGGUCCAGACACCUACGGGUGGCAGCAGUCGAGAAUUUUUCACAAUGGGCGAAAGCCCGAUGGAGCGACGCCGCGUGGGGGAUGAAUGGCUUCGGCCCGUAAACCCCUGUCAUUUGCGAGCAAUUCCCCGGCGUGAACAGCGCCGGGGUUGAUAGUAGCAAAAGAGGAAGGGACGGCUAACUUUGUGCCAGCAGCCGCGGUAAUACAGAGGUCCCGAGCGUUGUUCGGAUUUACUGGGCGUAAAGGGUGCGUAGGUGGUGGAGUAAGUUUGGUGUGAAAUCUUCGGGCCCAACCCGAAAACGUCAUCAAAUACUAUUCCGCUCGAGGGUUGAAAAGGGGACUGGAAUUCUCGGUGUAGCAGUGAAAUGCGUAGAUAUCGAGAGGAACACCAGUGGCGAAGGCGGGUCCCUAGGCAACUCCUGACACUGAGGCACGAAAGCUAGGGGAGCAAACAGGAUUAGAUACCCUGGUAGUCCUAGCCCUAAACGGUGCACAUUUGCUGUGGGCGGAAUCAACCCCGUCCGUGGCGUAGCUAACGCGUUAAAUGUGCCGCCUGGGGAGUACGGUCGCAAGAUUAAAACUCAAAGAAAUUGACGGGGGCCUGCACAAGCGGUGGAGUAUGUGGCUUAAUUCGAUACAACGCGAAGAACCUUACCUGGCCUUGACAUGCAGGUGGUAGAAGGGUGAAAGCCCGACGAUCCCGCAAGGGAAGCUUGCACAGGUGCUGCAUGGCUGUCGUCAGCUCGUGUCGUGAGAUGUUGGGUUAAGUCCCGCAACGAGCGCAACCCCUGUGUCCUGUUGCAAACCGGGCGCAAGCCCGGUGCACUCCGGACAGACUGCCUCGCUUCAACGAGGAGGAAGGUGGGGAUGACGUCAAGUCAGUAUGGCCCUUAUGGCCAGGGCUGCACACGUACUACAAUGCCUGGCACAAUGGGAAGCAAGGCCGUAAGGCGGAGCAAAUCCCAAAAAACCAGGCCCAGUUCAGAUUGCUGGCUGCAACUCGCCGGCAUGAAGCUGGAAUCGCUAGUAAUGGCGUAUCAGCUACGACGCCGUGAAUACGUUCCCAGGCCUUGUACACACCGCCCGUCACAUCAUGAAAGCCGCUUGUACCCGAAGUCGCCGUGCCAACCGCAAGGAAGCAGGUGCCGAAGGUAUGAACGGUGAUUGGGAUGAAGUCGGAACAAGGUA
This 1527-nucleotide ribosomal RNA is filed under the name metagenome. RNAcentral describes it as "bacterial SSU rRNA". It matches the Rfam family "Bacterial small subunit ribosomal RNA". The record is from RNAcentral.